AGCUCCGCUGCAAGACUGGCCUCGGCUUGCGUCGCGGUCUCGACCUGCGCCGCGAGGCUCGCCCUGGCAUCGAGCGUUUUGUUCGCAGCAGAUGCGGGCAUG
Molecule: transfer RNA, 102 nt
Filed under: Caballeronia sp. SBC2
Lineage: Bacteria; Pseudomonadati; Pseudomonadota; Betaproteobacteria; Burkholderiales; Burkholderiaceae
Description: tRNA-Arg
Source: RNAcentral